This 429-nucleotide ribosomal RNA is filed under the name uncultured bacterium. RNAcentral describes it as "bacterial SSU rRNA". It matches the Rfam family "Bacterial small subunit ribosomal RNA", at positions 355 to 776 of the family's 1533-position model. The record is from RNAcentral.
UGGGGAAUAUUGGACAAUGGGCGCAAGCCUGAUCCAGCCAUGCCGCGUGUGUGAAGAAGGCUCUAGGGUUGUAAAGCACUUUAAGUUGUGAGGAAGUUACGAUUGCAAAUAGUGGUCGUAAUUGACGUUAGCAACAGAAUAAGCACCGGCUAACUCCGUGCCAGCAGCCGCGGUAAUACGGGGGGUGCAAGCGUUAAUCGGAUUUACUGGGCGUAAAGAGCACGUAGGCGGUUGAUUAAGUUGGAUGUGAAAGCCCAGGGCUUAACCUUGGAACUGCAUUCAAAACUGGUCAACUCGAGUAAGGGAGAGGAGAGUGGAAUUUCCAGUGUAGCGGUGAAAUGCAUAGAUAUUGGAAGGAACACCAGUGGCGAAGGCGACUCUCUGGCCUAUUACUGACGCUGAGGUGCGAAAGCGUGGGGAGCAAACAGG